UUUUGCGAUCUUUCUUCCUUUCGAUUUUCCCGGGAAAAUUCGAGGAGUGAUCUUCAAAUUGGUUUUCUUCACUCUGAUGCCAAUCUCAUCUCCGUGUUGAAUUGGAGAUCUGCAUUGUGAAUUAGAUUGUUAACUAUGGAUUUGGAUUUCUCAUUGUGCUUUGAUUAUGUAGUUUCAAGACAAUGGCACAGGGGUCGGGGGAUUUUGAUUUUUGUGGUCGUUGUUUUGGAUGGAAAUGAUUUGGGCGGUGAUUAGGAGUUAUUGCGAAAUUUCGAUUGCGUUGAGUGCGGUGCAUCGGUGUCAAACAGUAUUCGACUGGAUUGAUCAUCUACGAAAGAUUGGAGCACUGGCGAUGUAAAGAAAACCAGGAAAAGGGGCUUAAUGAAGUAAAGGCUAGGGACGUGCUGACGUUGGUCGGAAAUUCUUGAUGGAAUCUGAGACGAAAUGUGACCUGUCGUUUCAUUUGAUGGGCAUUAUAUGGAUUCCGUAUUGUUUCUUUUUCUAUUGGGUAUUUUCUGUCUUUUCUUCACUGGUACCGUCUCCACUCUACUAUUUGCUAAUCAUGUAUUUCCUUAUACAUGAAGUGUAGAUAAAAAUUUGAGUCAAAAUAUGGCAGAUUGGGCAACAGUGAAGGAUGCAGUAUGACUUGGCUAUUUGAAAUGCAGGUCAGAAAGUUAAAGAUUUGAAAUCACCAACAUAUGAUGCGUUCUUAAACUUUCGGAGAUUACUCAGAUAACUACUAACCAAUAAUUAAGAGCAUUCAUAGUUUUUUUACAGAAGACAAGCACCGAUAGUUUGUUAAACUAUCAUUUUGAUAUUUGUCGGUGUUCUGGACCAACUGCGCACAUAUUCUCAAGAUAUUAUCGUCAUCGAAGUCAUGCUCAGUUUACAUUUACUUAUUUGAGAAACUUGUGAAUCAAUAGUUUUCAUAUGAAAUACUCCGCUCUUUCUUGUAAUAGAAAAGUUUAAUGGAAGAGAAGGAUAGAGCAAUUGCAUUGCUUGCUUUUAUAGAUGUUUCCAACUGCGCUUUUGUGAAGACGUCCUUGGACACAUGCUACAAAUUACAAUGCUUUAAACUCAGCUGGGUGAAGGUUGUUAUCCUUACUAACCAGAAACAUGCACAAGGUUAGCCUGCUUUUUCGAUGUUUAUAUUCUUUAUUUUUAAUUUCUGGAUUUCCUUUACUAGACAUCUGUUUUUUACCACUGUCAUAUUACAAGAAAAUACGAAACUACGGUCGUCCACGAGUAAUUAUGUUCUUUUUGAAUGAAAGAACAAAGGGGCCUAAGAAAACCAUCUUGAACCAACAAGUCGCCACCAGAAAAACAAUUACAGAACAGUUCUCCAACUGCUGGUCAUCACAAAAAAUAUAAUACAAAUCGUUGCAAGAAACACAAAGAGAGUAUUAAAGUGAACCUCUCAUCACACUUCCCCCAAGAACUACUCUUUCCAUGAAAAGUUCGUCUGUUCUUCUCCCACCUAAUAUUCCAUAACACAGUGAAGAAACCAAUCUGUCAUAGGAUUCUUUACCUCUCUUCCGAAAGCAAGGAGGCAACAAUACCUCUUUCGAGCGUAGGACACUCGUCAGUCUGAGCCAAAACAACUUGUAAUGACUGAAAAAAACCUAAAACGGACCUCCCUGAAAAAGGGCAAAGCAGAAAGAUUUUAUUUUAGUUUGACUGGAUUCUUUUCGUCUCAUUCUACAUUUGCUGUGUCUACGAAAUACUUCGAUGUGGCCAUGCUUCGUUCUUUGGCAGAUAUAAGUUAUCUGUUGCUUUUUAAUUGCGGGAAAUAGGGAUAUAUGAUGGAAAAGCGUUCUCUUAAGUUCAAAGUUUAACAAGUUUACUGAGUAACGAGGGAAUGAUUCCCUUUGUGUGGGCUCAAUACUGAAACUUUGCACCGUUCCCUUUCGGGAAUGUUGAAUAAUUCUAUUAUCGCCCCUUAAUUUUACCAUGCUCUAUCUCUACCCUUGUUUUUUGGCAUUUUGUUUCUCUCUUUUCUCUGCAGGUUCCAUACAAGUUUGAUAUUGAUUCUCUUCACAGAUAUUAGCAAACCCUAUCUGUAUUAAUCUUCUCACAUGAUGCAAAAUCGUAACCUUUUCUUUUCCAUUCCUUAUUCUGAAUCUCUGAUUCCUUCCCAUCCACAUUCCUUACACUCCCCCUGCAUUCUACUAUUUUACUGAAAUAUAAUUCACCCCCAGGGUAAUGAUGUCUGUACAUGGUGAUUGAAGUUUAACAUUAAAAUUAGGACCUCUAAGAAACUUGAAGAUAAGACUCAAAUUGAAUCUCAGUUUUAUGAUAACAUUUUACAAACAUCUUUUGCUUUUCUGGGCCUUCCUGAUAAAAUCGACUAUUUAAUACUAAGUUGCAAAUGGUGAAUUAUGGUCCCAUUGGAAGAUUUGUUAGUGACUUCUCAAUAAUUUUGGCAUAUGAUUUGAUUCAACUUCAAAUUCAAAACUGUGCAAAGUUUGUCCAUCGCUAGGUUUGAAGAGGGGCCGGACCCUAAAUUGUGACAAAGAUUUUAGGAUUUUUCUGAGCAGAACAGUACUGCUAACUUAAAUAAUUAUGCCAGAAUUAGUCUAAUUUAAUUGGUUGAAACUUUUACUUACCCGUCUCAUUAACUCAAAAUAAUUGUAAUUCUAUAUUCAUUUUCUUCCAACGUUAUCACUUGUUAGCAUCUUUGAAACUUUGCAGAAGCUUCAAUUUCAGCUGUUAGAAAAUAACCUUUGUCCACGCAGGAAGUAGGGUUGUCUAGAAAAUAAAUUAACAAAUACUAAACACUUAGAUUGCCAUAUGGGUAGAUGAAAGAACCUGAAAUGAAGGAGUGAAUUGAUCAAGGAUGACAAAGGAAACCUUAGGAACAGUUUCUCUCAAAACAAAACCAAGACCAAAAUCAAUUAAUAAUUCUAGAUCAUAUCACAAGCAUAGAUAUACAGAAAUGGAACUAGAUGGUUUCUAAUCAAGAAUGAAGAAGAAAAUGAACAGGCAAAGAGUCAAUCUGCCUAUCAAGAAAAUUCACUCAGAUUUCACCAAAAGUACAAAAACCCACAUAGCAGAGUGAUUCAAAUUUGAACUAGCUUGAAACUUUGCAUGUGUUUCACUUGCGACAGCUUCAAAUUUGCAUAAUCCAUCGUCAAAAUUUAGAGCGUAGCUGCAAGGAUCAUACUGAAACCUGAACUGCUGCUUGCUUCCGUUCUUGAUGGCUUUCUUCAUUGCAGCUCUCAUCCUCCAGAACAGUUUCUUGAAUUGCUUCCUACUGUAAGUAUUCAUCCAUUCUAUGCCUUCCACAAAUCCCAUUAAUACAACGUCAACCUCUAAACUCUAAAAUUUCUGCAGCUAAUCCCAAAAUGUCCUGAAAUGAAGAGCAGGUUGUGAUAGUUUCUGGGUAUUUGAGGAAGAUUAUAAAGGAUUCACAGACGCAGAGACAAACAAGAACAGUUGCAAUCUGAAGUUUGUGCAGGAGUGUCAGAACCAAAACAACAAAAGACGAUUCACCUUUUUGUAUACAGGAGGAGGGCGAAAUGAGAAAGGGCAAAGCGUAAUCUUUUGGCCUUCCAAUGAAGCUGCGCAGUUUAUGUUGAGCCUCUACGAUGAGAUCGGCCUUUUCUCCUUGGAGUCAUGUUGGAAUGCUCAAAUUCCAUCAACUACAGCGAUAAAGACAGAGAAGGAGAAGGAGAAGGAAAAGGGGAGAGAGAGAGAGAGAGAGAGAGAAAGCGAGGGAGAGCUAAUAGCAAUUGCAGUGGGCAGAGAGCCUACAGAGACAUAUCAAUAUCGAAUAUUGUUGCGGCAAAAGUAACGAAGGAAGGUGACUAUGUGCAACGGUAUGUCUUCGGUCUUCGCCUCUUUCACGGGCAUAAAAGUAUUUAUGUUCCACUAAGCUCCUUAACCAUCUCUACGGUUCCUUAAAAGCAAGGAAUAAACUUCCUUUUGAACCUUCUUAAACAACAAAGUACAAUUUUUUACAGAAAAGGAUUAUAACAAUUCAAACCCUUUCUCCGUUAUGAAUUUAACAGAAAAAUACUGCUGCAGGAACCCUGUGGGGUAUUAGUCCAAAACCCCACUUAACAGAAACUGAGCCUUGUGGUUCAGAAUAAAAGUAAAUCAAUAGGUCAAAACACUUUUUUAGUUCUUUUGUUUUGAACUUUGGCUUGUGUGCACUCUUUCAAGGAAAAAAAAAAAAAAGAAAUACACACCUACACCGAAGUAUUAAUGUUGAAAAUAAAAUGAUCUAGGUUAAGAACUACAGAUAUGAGGAUUAAAGCCUUAAUUAGAAAUCUAGGAAUUAGAGGUGUUUGAAUCAAAUUAGUAUAUAAUGGUGUCCUAUGGAACAGAAACUGGUGUAUUGAUCAAUCAAAUCAGAGUUUGGCUAUCUUAUCCACUGAUUUGUCUCCUAUACCAGGCAAAGUGGAGAAACUUGAACAUCUUGGUAACUUUAGAGGAUUUCUAGGUCUUAUAGCUCUCACACGCUCUUUUCCAUUGCCCUUUUACUUUUUCCAUUUAACCAAUAAUCUAUUUUUUGUCUCACUCCAUCUCUCUUUUUUUCUCUCUCUCCCCCAUAGAAUCUUGGGGUCUUUUGCCAUCGCCCUCCCCACCGUGCAGAAUUACAUAAUGCUGCGAAGGGAGAUGAGGAUCAUCCUUUGGCUAAUGACUUGUCACUCUAGCCAACUACGUGACCCUUGUCUUCAUUUUCAAUUUACCUUUCUGUAGGGUCAUUAUCCUAUUGAAAGUUGAGUCUUGGAGAUAAUUGUCUGUUUUUCCAUCAGCUAUGCUAAAGUCUUCCACAUGACAUUAUUUUCUCAUGGUGGGGUCCCUCUUCGGUUUUUCUUUCUUAAUGGGUUACCACAAGCUUGGGAUAGGAUUUUUUUGGGUGGACCCCCAAAUGCCACGUGUCUAGAUCAUAGGGUAGGGUGAUACAGAAGACUGAUCCUCCCAAUAAAGGCUCUUUGUUGAUGUUGUUCAGAUUGGUUGGGGGGGGGGGGGGGGGGGGGGGGUAUGGAAGGAAGGCCCAUAUUCCAAAUUCUCCUUUUUCAAAUCUAAUUUGGCUACCAUUAAUGCCCGUUGCCAUUCCCUCGCAAGAUCGUUUUCCCAUUUGUACAAACGCCAUUCGGUCUUCUUCUACCUUUUCUGCAGAUUCUCUCUGCAACAACCGAUGCCUUAUCAGAAUUUUCUGUCAUUUUAUUACUUUCUCUUCCUCAUCGAAUAUAUUAUCUUCUAUAUUUUUGCUCUUUUGCUCUUUUCGUUGUUUUUUGUCCAUUUCACUUUCUGUAUACUAAAGUAUAGCUUUAAAUUUAAGUAGUUUGCAUUCUAUUUUA
Molecule: long non-coding RNA, 5309 nt
Organism: Cucumis melo (muskmelon)
Lineage: Eukaryota; Viridiplantae; Streptophyta; Magnoliopsida; Cucurbitales; Cucurbitaceae
Exons: 2
Source: RefSeq, a predicted model, not a curated record